UGGAGGUGGGUUGCCCUGGUGGUUGUGGUUGCUGCCUUCAGGUUGAUUGCCAUCACCGGUGACAGCGGUUCUCCUGGUCGUCACCAUCUGAAAACCCCACACAGAACCAGCAAACAGAGAGAGAGAGCUGACGAUUAAAACUAACCACCCACGACUACUAUAAUUCUUGAAUUUAUUACUGCUAUUAAAUUGGUUCAUUAAUGUUCAAGUUGCUUAGGCAAAUAAAAUAAGACAGGCUCCGACACAGUUAUGCCACACACCGGCAUAACUAUGCCCCACACAACUCAAGAAGACAAACGAGGAAAAACACACGCGCAAGCCUACUAACUGCUCGUCUACCGCUGCGACGGGCCAGGACGGAAGGUGAGCAACAGCGCACCCUCCGUGCUACCAACGCCGGAGGCUUCCCCCUCCUGGGGAACCACGGGCGCGGGCUCGGCACGAGGGGUCUCGACAAAGCAGGUCCACGCCAGGGACUGACGAACCAGCUCGGGCCUGGAGGUGCUCUUGCGGGCGGUGAUCUUCUGGCUGCGGCAAACGCGGCGACGCUUGGGGCGGCAGUCCUCUCCCUGGGCGAUCUUGAGCUGAUGCAGCUGCGCCUCCACCGCGUCGAGGUCCUUCUUGAGCUGCAGGUUCUCCUGACGCAGCUCCAGGAUCUUCAUGUUGUUCUCAACCAUCCCGCGGCGUACCAUCUGAUGGAAGUCGAUACGAGCCGCGUCGUACGCCUCCACCAUGCGCGCCAGGUGCACGACGGUAGCAUCAUCCUCCGAGCUAGCAUCCCGGAAGGUGGCGUAGUCGCGGGCUCCUCCGCGACGAGGGUGGUAGCGGUAGGGCGAGUGCUGCAACUCGUCCGGGUAGCGCUGGUGAAGAGUGCCGAUGGCGAGGAGAGCGGCGUUCUGGCAAGCGGCGGGGAAGGAAUCUCCACCCGCGGUGACUGCCAGCGAAGUCCGCUCGGGGGAGCCAGAGAGGAUCACUGCAGUGACCUCCCAACCAGCGUGGGGCUCCGCGUCGUCACCCUCCUGAUCCGGAAGCGGCCUGGCCUGGUAGUCCACUCCAUGUGGAUACCCCAAGACCACGCACAUGCCUCGCAGCUCCAAGACGAAGCCAGUCAUGUCCAAACCACGACGGGUGACGCUGCCGGCCAUCUACAAACAAAAACAGAAAGAAAAACAACAUUUUAAAGAUCAGAUUUUGGCGAUAAAUGAAGCAGCAAGACAGAGAGAGACUAGAGGAUUUUCACAAAUACAAGAGAUUUUUAUUUCGAAAAAUACUGCUAAGGCUUGGGAUCUACGGCUCGUCCUAGGGUCAAGGGUAGCUCUGAUACCAACUUGUCACGACCGGAAAUAACCCAACGGGCUUUCCUGACGUGCGUGCAUUAAUCCUUGUCCCAGGAGGCAAGGUACACCAAAAGUUGAUACAAUUCAGAGUUUAACAAGCGGAAGCGUAAAUAGUUAACUUAUUACAUGGGCAGCGAAGGCCCAACACACACAAAGACAAACGAGAAACAGCGGAAGACUAGGGCGACGACCACAGGCGCUUGACGGCAGGCACGAGCUAGACACCAAAGCCUUCAUCUUCAAGGAGCUCCUCUUCUGGACUUGGGAAAAAUUGAGCAAGACUGAGUACAACCACCGUACUCAACAAGACACACCCACAAAUGCAGAAUAAAUGCAAGGGAGUACAAGGAAUUAUACCAUAAAGGGGUUAGGGUUGCAGUAAACAGCAUUUAAAGACAUUUAGUUGCUCAGGGCUAUUUUGUAAACGCGAUCCUAGAACUAAACAAUAUUAUUAAUCAAGGCCGUGAACCCACACGAACCUGCCUUAACCCAAGGCCUAUGAUGAUUCAGACCGAACUGGCAACCCGACCCUGGGUCCCAGCUCGUCCUAAGCCAACCCAGGCCAACCAUUCCACAUUUUAGUUGUUAAGCAGGUUUUAAGAAUUAAAACACUAACUUGGGUACAUUGCUCGGCUUGCCCAUAACCGAGGGCGCGGCUAUUCGAAUAGAUUAUACUCUGAUCAGAGGUGUACAUCUUUACCCACAAGACACAUCUUUCUCACGUGCAACCACGUGCCACAUACCACCACGGUAUACAGACGAAAGACGUGACAUAGUUUCCAACCCAUCCUAGCCAUAGACAAGAGUACCGACCCAAUCCCACCUACGGCCGGAACCCCCAGGACAGGCAGGCAAGACUGAGCCCCUAGCAGCAGGGCACCAACCCUCUGCCAUGACAUCUCGACUACCGGGCCGCAGCUCGUGUAGCCUUCAUUUGCCCUGGAGAAUGUCCAUCGACCCCCGACUUCAUCCAUCUCCAAUCCGUGUACUUUUGUUUAUGACUAGACUGAGCCACAAACUAAGCCUUACCCACUAGACAUGUGGAAGUACGGUAGUGCUUUGCAACAGAGGCCCGAAGACCGGUCCUUAUAUGGCCGAGGUGCUACCAUCAAAACCAUGCACCCCGAGCCCAGCCUAAAACCAUUUUGGGGACUUUUGAAUAGAAGGAGCGGUGUGAAGCCAAUUCCACAAUAAACCAACAAUUCCAAAGUGUCCAGGUGAUAUGAAUAUUUCCCAAAGUCUAGAGUUGAAAAACCACCUAAUGUUACCUAAUUAAAUUGCGAAGCAUCUACCUAAAAUUAAACUAGUGGUGCCAUGAGUAGAGUGUCCACUAGUUGAGGUUUUGUUUAUUCUAGGGUGAACAAGGUAAUAUUAAUAACAAUAACAAUAAUCAUAAGGUCAUAACAAAGGUAAAUAGGCAUGGCUAAAUAAAACAGUGAUAACGCGAGAAUUUAAAUAAAGCGAUAAUGCAAUAAUUUAAAUCAACAUAAUUUUAUAAACGGGGAUUCAAUAUGAUCAAGAUGAUGUGUCUUGCCUUGCUCGCUUUCCCAAACGUCGGCUUCAACUUCCACGAAGAGCGGAUCUUCCGAAGCUGCAGCGUCUACACGACCAACGGAAAAGAAAAGGCUUUUACUCUAAAUAACUCCAUAUAACAGCAGAAACAAAGCACAAAAAUGGGUUCUUGACUUCUUAAGGAAAAAUUAGAGACUUGAACGGUCCAAUUCCGAGUUCAAAUGGCCAAGAUAUGGCCAUUUGAAGUUUAUAUGCUCUUUAAAUGAAUAUUUGCGAAUUUCUUCAUUUAAAUUUUAAUUAAAAAAUCCAUUUAUUGCGUCAGCCGAGAGAGAGGGCGCGCGGACCGGGUCCACGGGAGUGGGGCCCACGCGUCAGCCUCUCGGUCCACGGUGGACCGGGUGCACGCGGCUGGCGGCGGCCGGCGCCGUGGGUCCCACGCGUCAGCCGCACCCGCGGGCGCGGGCGGCUGACGGCCGGGCCCACCUGGCAGCCGCGGGGCGCGCCCGAAGGCGGCCUCGCCGGCACGGCCGACGGGAGGCGGCGCACCCGCGCCCCGAUGGUCGCCGCCGGCGACCAACGGCGCGGCGGAGCGGCACCCGAGAGAGCGGAGAAGAGAGGGAAGCGAAAGGGGCGGUCCACGGCUCACCCCGGGACGACGAGGGCGGCGGAAACGACGAUCGGAGCGGAGGAAAGCGGCGGCGCGGUUCGGGAUGACGAGGGCGACGGAGCUCCGGCGGUCGGCGGGCGAAGCGAAGGGGCGGACGGGGUCGGCGACAACGCGGCGAAGCCGAUGGAGGUGGCGCCGAGUCGGGAGGGAGUCCGGAGCGACGUCGGCGGCGUACCGGAGGUCGGCGGCGACGGCGGAGAGAGAGGUGGACGUCGCGAGCACGAAUCCGACGGCGAGAGCAAGCGACGAACGGCGGAAACGGAGGAGGGAGGCACGGGGAGCAAAUAUAUAGCGCCGAGAGGGGGAGAGCGCGGCCGGAGAGGGAGGAAACGGCCGCGGAGAUCUCGGCUCCAUUGAAGACGCCGGCGACGAUUGCGGGAUUCAAAUCGGACGAAUCCGAGGGAGAGAGAGAGGGAAAAGAGGGGGAAACGGGAGAGGAAAUCACGGGGAGUGAUUCCCCCCUCUUUAUGGCGCGCGGGGAAGGCGGGAUGCGGCGGAUUCGGCGGCGGCGGCGGCGCUAGGGCACGGGCGGCGGCGGGCGCGGCGCGAGGAAGGGGAUGACAGGUGGGCCCCACCCGUCAGCGAGGGUGGCGGGCGGGCCCGCCUGUCAGCGGCGCGCGCGCGCGGGGGAGGCCGAUGGGCCGCGGGGGAAGAGAGAGAGAGAGGGAGGGACUGGGCCGAGCCGGCCCAAGAAGGGAAAAGGGGAGGGGGAAAAGACUUUUAGGGAUUUUUUUCUUUUUAUAAAACCCUUUUAACUUUGUUUAUUUCUUUUCACUUAUUAUUUGUGCUCUGAAAAUUCCACUAAAAUUUAUUUACACAUUUUAGGCUUUUAGGAAAUAUACAAAAAUCCUCCAAGCCUCAUUUGACUUUUAUCUUUGCACAUUUUAAUUGUUGGAGGCUUUCACAUGAAUUUUAAUUAUUCUUUGCACAAUUUCGAGGAUGAGUUUUAGAGUCGUUUUGGGACGCGACAGUACGGUUCUUUCUUUCGGGCACCCCAUUUGAUUGGGGUGAAUAGGGAGGCGUCAUCUCAUGAAUAAUUCCAAACUCUUCGCAAAAAGAUGCAAACUCAUUGGAAAAAUACUCCCCACCUCUAUCAGACCUCAACCGUUUGAUUUUCCUUUCAAGUUGGUUUUCUACCUCAGCUUUAUAGAUUUUGAAGUAAUGCAAUGCCUCAUCCUUUGUUUUCAAUAGAUACACAUAGCAAAAUCUAGUGCAAUCAUCUAUCAGUGUCAUGAAAUAUUUCUUUCCCCCUUUAGUCAACACGCCGUUCAUUUCGCACAAAUCGGAAUGAACAAGUUCUAGAGGUGCCAAAUUCCUCGCCUCAGAUGCCUUGUGAGGCUUGCGAGGUUGUUUCGAUUGAACACAAGUAUGGCACUUGGAACCUUUGACCAAAGUGAAUUUUGGAAUUAAACUCAUGUUAGCUAAGCGCGUCAUACAACCGAAAUUCACAUGACAGAGUCGCGAAUGCCACACAUUAGACUCAUCAUUCUCGCUAAUAUGGUUCACAGCAUUAUGAUUAUUACACAUGUCAUUCAAAGAAAAGCGGAACAAGCCUCCGCUGUCAUAACCUUUUCCAACAAAAGUCCCAUAUUUAGAUACGACACAUUUAUUGGACUCAAACACAAGUCUAAAACCUUCUCUACACAAUAGAGAGCCGCUAACUAGAUUCUUCUUUAUUGAAGGGACAUGCUGCACGUUCUUCAGCUGCACGGUCUUUCCCGAAGUAAACUUCAGAUCGACCGUACCAACACCAUGAACAGCCGCAAGCGACCCGUUUCCCAUCAACAAGGAGGAACCUCUCCCGACCUGAUAAGAAGAAAACAGAGAAAUGUCAGCACAUACAUGAAUAUUAGCACCAGUAUCCACCCACCAAUCAGGUGAAUGAAAAACAGAGAGAACUGUAGGUAAUAUUUUACCGUACCCCGAUGUUCCUCCGCCCUCGCUAAUGAUCAUGUUGGCAGACUUCCUGUCUUUGCGCUCAGGACAGUCCUUGGCCCAAUGCCCAGACUUGCCACACACAAAGCAGUCUCCUUUUGCCUUUCCCUUGCCUUUCUUCUUAAAAUUGGUUGCAGCUUUGGGUUUGACAUCAGGCUUGACUUUCUUGUUGUUGUGGGAUGCAUGAGGGUUCUUCUUCUGUACCAUAUUGGCACUAGAACCUCCCUCAACCUUUUUGCCCCGCACGUCCUUUGCCCUCGCCUUCUCCUCAACACCCAAAGAGCCAAUGAGAUCAGGAACACUGAACUCUUGUCUCUUGUGCUUUAGAGAAGUGGCAAAGUCCGACCAAGAAGGUGGCAGUUUGGCAAUAAUGCCACCCGCCACAAACUUGUCUGGCAACUCACAGUUGUUGUUCUCAAGUUCCUUAGCCAGCAUCUGAAUCUCAUGAGCUUGUUCUACUACAGAACGGUCAUCGACCAUCUUAUAGUCAUAGAACUGCUCCAUGACAUACAGCUCACUGCCAGCGUCAGAAACUCCGAACUUAGCCUCAAGUGCAUCCCACAUGUCCUUCCCAGAAGGCAUGUGCAUGUACACGUCCACUAUGUUGUCAGCGAGUACACUGAUCAAUGCUCCACGGAACAGGCAAUCCGAAGCCUCGAACUUAGCCUCUUCCUCAGGAGAGAGAGGUGGUUCACUUCGUUUGCCCCGUGAAACAUAGAAGCACUGCAUCGCUGUCAACCAUAAUAGUGCACGUGCUUUCCAUCUCUUAUAGUUUGAACCAUCAAAAGCAUGUGGUUUCAGUGCAGCAGCAAAGCCAACUACCGAAAAUGACCUAUCAGGUUUUUGGAUUGUUGGAAAUAUAGUCAUUAUUCGGCAUAUUUUAAUCCAAGAAAUUGAAACAAUGAUCAUGGCAUAAGCAGUGUAGGGUGAUCUUAACAUAACCAGUAGCAUACUAUGCGCAUCAUGAAUGUCAGAAACAGGAACAUACCAGUAAUGCGAUAACAUGCUAGAGGCAUCAUGUAGAACAGGAACAAGAACAUAGCUCACACAGUAUAGCGCUAACAACAGUAGUAGGAGGAGAAGAUUAUACCCCGAGAAUGGCCCUCCGCUGGAUGGUGAGGCAGAAUUGCCUCCGUUGUUGUAGUCGUUCACGGCACCUCCUCCUGGCGCACCAGCUCCGGAUCCAGCUCCUGUCGGCGGCGGCGCACCAGCUCCGGAUCCAGCUCCUGUCGGCGGCGGCGCACCACCUCCGCCAGCAACUCCAGACAUGGCGAUGAGCAGUCGUGCAGGAGGCACUCCCCAAAAACCUGAUCACCCGCCUACCCGGUGCAGAUCUCAGGCGAAGGUGUGGUUUCGGAGGCACUGCUUCUUCCAAUCUCUCGUGCGCGCAAGAGAUCAGAAGCGGGGAAGGGAGAGAGCAACUCAGGCACAGGGGAGAAACUAACACCGGGGAAGCAGCUAAGAAAUCGGAUCAGACUCGCGGCCUCCUUUUCUAUCAGGAGAAAGAACGUGGACGCGCUGUUGCGGAGGGAAUCGUGGGAACGUGGGUUAGUGGCUGCAAAAGAGCGACGUGACGCACGCCCGCCGCCAGCCAGCCAGCCAGCCACGCCACGCCUCGCCCACGCCCACGCCCACGCCCCGGCCCGGCGCGCGCGCGCGCGCGUGUGGCAUUCCGACCCCCACCUCAACUGGUCAACAGGGAGCCUCUAAUAACUCCCUAUUUAGGUUGAGAUAUUUCUCGCUUAAAUCCUGAGGUGGUAUUAUUAUCCUUAACAUUUAUUAUGGGCCUUUGAGAUUUAAUAGAAUAAAUUGGGCCUAGCCCAAUUAUUCUAACAACCUCGACCCGCGCGCCGCUCUCCAUCAGCGGCGACGGGAAAGAGAGGCGGUGACGACGGGCGGUGGCGAGAGAGAUGACCCCGCCGACGCCGCUUGCCAUCGAGCAUUGCAAGAGAGAGAGAGAGGCAGUGACGAGAGAGAGAGAGAGGGCGUGGGGAGAGUGGAUCCGGCACCGACGAGGUAGAAGGCGACGAGAAGAGGAGGAAACGGAGCAGCGGCGGAGAGAGGGAGAAAAAUCAGCGCAGGAAAUGGUGGGCGGAAGAGACGAGAAGAGGAGAGGAAGAGAUAGGAGCAGCGUCGGUCAGGUUUUCCCAAACCGCAAGGGCCGGGGUUACCGCGCCCCAGCGGUAAGCACGGUUACCGCGCGGUAACCGUGAAAAAUCGUGCAAAAUUUAUCAAAAAUUUAAAUUAUUUUUUAAAUUCAUUUGAAUUUAAGGAGGUUACCAUGGUUUUUCUAUUACCGUACUCCCUCGGUAAGGCUGGUAACCGCGAUAACCGUGCGGUUACCGACGGUAAUGUAAACCUUGGCGUUGGUGGGCUGAUGGGCAGUGGGGAGGGGUAUUUUCUCACUUGAGGCUACCUUGGGCCGGGAUACCCUUUGUGGGCUAGAGUAUCUUUAUCAAAUGGCCUCAGAUUUUGAAGAACCCAUCAGAGGUAUUCUUCAUUGGAAGAUGAGUUCUCUAAGUAUGGCUUUGGUUGUACUUCCUUCAUUCCCAAAUAAGUGCAGCUUUGCUAUAUUCAUCUUCAACGUUUGACUACUCGUCUUAUUUGAAAAAUUUUUAUAAUUAAUAUUUUUGUUGUCAUUUGAUAAUAAAAUAUGAAUAGUAUUUUAUGUGUGACUAUUUUUUUAAACUUUUUCAUAAAUUUUUAAUAUGAAUAGUACAUGCCGUACUGUACUCGUCAUGCAUUGACAGUAUUGAAGGAGAAGCUACUCCAACUAGUACUAGUAGUAGGAGUAGGAGUAACACACAUCACGGGGCCGUAGUACGCUUUAGCCCCUGUCAUGAAUAUCCUGUCUCAAACCAGAGGCCAGCAAUGACAACACCACAACCGGACCAAUGGUACCCAGCUACUCCUACUGCAAGUCACUGCUGCCUGGUGCCAAAAGGCCAAUGCUACAGUGACCGGAGCACAGGUGAAAUUGCUGCCGCCCUCUUUGGGUCAGCUCUGCUCAGCUCUCAGCGACUGAGACUGAGCUGAGCUGACUCGCGACCGCUCGCCGGCGGGAAGGAACAGUGGUCAGUGCGCUCGGACAUCGCCGGCAGAGUGAGGCCACGGUUGUCGAUCUCAUCUCACUGGAAUCUGUCCCUGCAGGGUGGGGACACCGCCCCAUGCCGGUGGGCCCCCACCGUUGGAGGAUCCGAUGCGUACGUUAUGCUGGAGGGUGGGGCCCUUCCCCCGUGAUGUGGGGCCAAAAGGUGGUCAGCUCUGAUCAGUGGUGGCCCAGCUAUGGUUGUUUGUUCUUUCGGAGUUGGCGCCAUCUGGAAGCGAUGGGGGCGGGUCAGCCUCAUGUCAGGUCACUGAUGGUGGGGCCCAGGUUGGGCACGGGUGGGCCCCAGCGAGUUUGCUCUCGUUUCGUGCAACUCGUGUUGGUAGUGGUGGCAGUGGUGUCAUUUCGCUGGCUCUGCAGUACUCACUCCGUCAAAAAAAAAAAAAAAGUAAAAUCUGAUUUUUCGUGUCCAACUUUAUCUGUCCUUCUUAUAUAAAAUUUUUUUAUAAUUCGCAUUUUCAUUGUUGUUAGAUGAUAAAACAUGAUUAAUAUUUUAUGCGUGACUUGUCUUUUUAAUUUUUUUUAUAAUUUUUUCAAAUAAGACGGACGGUCAAAUGUUGGACACGGAAAUCAGGGUUUGUCCUUUUUUUUUUUCUUUUUGAUGACGGAGAGAGUAGGAAAAAUGAUGGAACAGUAGAGUCAGCCUCGGCCAGUAGCUGUGCUGCUUCUUUACCAUUACCGGUGGAGUUGUGAAGGAUUUGGGGGUUGAUUGACACUGUGGACAAUGAAUGCAGCUGUGAAUCUGUGGCGUCAUGUCAGUACUCAAGUACUCCUACCAAACUAGUACGGAUUAUUACUUGCUGGAUUGGAUUGGUUGCUCCCGUUGUUUGGUCGGAUCCAGUCCAGUGUCCGUCAAAACUCUCCGAUGCUUGGGGAUUUUGUGGGUGGUGGUUGGGCGAAGCGGGCGUCCCGGCGUUUUGCCGCGCGGAGCACACGCGGGGAGGAGCGCGGACGGGACGUAACGUACCACGUUGUAGUACGCGCUCGCGCGGGAAUCGAUCGCGGCUGCCGCCGUAUCGAUCGGUGAAGAGGCGGCGGCGAUGACCGGACCGCGCGGCGCGCGCACGUCGUGGGCGCGAGGCGACGGCGAAGAGGUCUCUUGCGGGGCGCGGUCGACGGGCGGUGGUGGCAGGUGGAGUGGAAGCGGAUCGUCGGCGGCGUCGACUCGGCUAAAGCUCUCGCUAUGCUCCGCGCGGUUGCAGCAGCUGGUGUCUGUCCGUCUCUCGCGCGCGUUGGUCGAUCGGAUUACAGACGCGGCGCGGCCUUUUUGUAGUAGCGGCGCUGGCGCAAGGUUGCGUGAUCUCGGCGUUCCAGGUGUGCGGUGAACCGGGGGUAAAGUAGUCUAGGCUAUAUUCUUUUUUUUUAUUAGUUUUAGUUAGCAUGCGAGAGUGUUUGAAAAUGUUAAAGGAUACAUUCCGUGCUAAAAUUUUCUAUAGAAGUUGCUUUAAAAUAUCAAAUAUAUAUAUUUUAAGUUUAUAAUAAUUAAAACUCACUAAUCAGGCACUAAUGAUUUUUUUUUCGGGCCCUAACUUCAUCUUCAGUCUUUUAGUAAAAAAAUGAACACCAACUCUGGCCAUCUAGAAAUCACCUACUCCCUCUCCAUCCGUCUCAAAAUACAAUUAUUUCUAAAAUUUCUCAUAAACAAUAAGUAAGGAACUAGAAAAACUAAAAUCGAGAUGAUUGUAAUAGAUUGAGAUGUAGAAGUAUGUAUACAAGUUGUUAUAUUUUAGGAUAAGUUUUAAAUGAUACUACCUUCGUUUCAGAUUAUAAGACUUCCUAGUAUUGCCCACAUUAAUAUAGAUGUUAAUGAAUCUAUUUGUGUCUAGAUUAAUUAACAUUUAUAUGAAUGUGGAAAGUCUUGUAAUCUGAAAUGGAGGAAGUAGAAACAAAGGUUACAAAUGCAUUAGAAGCACUCUAAAUAAAUUUUGUCGGAACAACUUGUAAUGCAUCGUCACCUUCUUCCCAAAAUAUUUAUUGAUUGUAACUUAGAUUGAAAGAAAAAAAAAUGUCCGUCAAACACUACAAUGUCUAAAGAUGGUUACACCAAACGAUAUCCCAUUGUCUUAAAAACAGUUAGACCAAAGGAUCACUUAUAUAAUCCACUGUAAUACCAAGCAAAAGCUUGGUGUACCGAUUUCGGUCCGUUGAGCGUCAGUGAUGACGGCAAUAGCCGGCAACCUCACAUCCACGAGGGGAAAAAAUUGGAAAGUAACAACCCAAAUUGUUUACAAUGACUAACUUAUCUACUCAACUUGUUUGCCAUUAGUCGCCGUAUGAAAAACAAGAGCCUGACCAAAUGGGUCAUAUGGGCAGGUAAACGACUCGGGCAACGAAAAAGAUACACCUUCUACAACACAUGCUACGGAUAAUUAGAUCUACGUCAACAUUAGUAAACAGAAUCAGCAUUUGCAGGGGAAUCGGUAACUUGCAGGGAACAGCUUCGCUUGUUACGUCAAUGACAGAGAGAGCAUUCUAAACAAAGGCGAAACAACAAACUUUGUCCUCCUCCAUCAAAAAGACAAUUUGCAUGUUUGAUAGGGACCACAAUGUUUGUGUAUGUGGAUGUGUGUGCAUCCAUAGGAUUUUCUCUAGAGUAGGAUAGAAUCCAUUGCCAAUGCUGAUGAGUGCUGGAAAGCUCAUGGAGCAAAAGCUACUUGUGGUAGGCAUUCAAAAAAUCCGGCAAGGCAAAUUAAUGACAUGUCACCAACUGGGAUCAAUGGAUCUAAGACAAGGGCUUCAGGAUGAUAUGAGAACACACAGCCCCACAAUCUCUCUGAAAUUUAGUGAAGGUGGCAACACCGAUGCUUGUGCCAAGAAAGUGAAGCCCCCUGGUGUUAUACUUUUCAGCCUGCACGUUGAAUGGUGUUCAGUCCAGACACGUGUGCUCAGCUAGAGCUUUAAAAUGCGAUAUCCAUCAAGAUAGUACUAGUAGAAGAUUGUCCAUCCACAGAAGUUAACAAAUGCAAGCAACCACACCUCACUUUCGGAUUAGCAUUGCAGAGACUGAUGACAUAAUAGACCAGGAAUUUUCAACCUUGAUUUUUCUUUUCAUCAGUUCAUUUCUCACUUCUCUUUCAAAGCUAAUUACAACACAACACAACCGAAAAGGCAGGUCAUGCCAUGCCAUGCCACCCCCCUCCAACCCAAUCAAAUCAUGGCUCAUCUAUGGGAUAAUAUGUUUCUUCUCCCAAUUGCUAAAACAAUCCAAGCAGAGAAUGGUGAGGAAUAUAGAGGGAAAGAGGAACACCACCACAUCACAAAAGUUACCUUGUCCUGCAUUCUAAUUAAAUUUUGCUUCAGUUAAGAGAACAACAAAAAGAACAAAGCUAAAGCAGUUGGGAGAGGGAGAAAGAGACCAGCUUUUGACAUCCAUGCAUAAAACUGCUAAAAAGAGAUUCUAUGCACCUCCAGCUUUCCAUCAUGAGAGGAUAACCUACUACACAAAAGUAUCACUCCCAUCAACCAUUCCAAAUACUUCAGUUAGCAAAUGAUCCAGCAAAGGAAUGGGCGCGCCGUCCUCUUCGAUUAACAGCCAGCAAACAGGCUCUUGCGCCUGUGGCUGUUGCUGCGAUCUGCUUCUUCUGGGGUCCAAGAGGCGUAGCUCCGUUCGCGCAUAUUCAGAAUUAGCAGUUAGCUCGCAAGUCCAGAGUAGCGUCCUGAAGUCCGAGCAUCGACAUCUUACUUGCCUGAUAAGACGGAUGUUUCAAUUAGGAAAAAGAAUUCACAGCAGGCUUGUUUCAUGGGAGAAACAUUUGAGCUUAUACAGGGAAGAAAUAGAAGAUGUGGAGAAAAGAGCAAGUCCAUUACCAGCAGCAGGCUUCUGAUCACUUGAUGGUUUUACAGACAUUGACAUUGGGGCCCCAAAAGUCAAUUGUGCCGCUGACAUAUGAGAGUGAGGCACACCGCUCGGAGACUGAGAUGCUGCGGCAAGAUGCAUAAAACUGCCAGCGGGAGGAUGAUGAGUCUUCAUGUUAUUGCUGGCUGCAGCUGCAAGAACAUUCACUGGAUCAGUUAGCAUUGCAGUUGUGGAAAUAGACAUGGAAGUAGAGCAUAGGGAGAGCAUAGUAGACGAACCCGACAUGGCGCUCUGCUGAUGGGGCUGCUGCUGCUGCUGCGUCUUGUCAGCUGAGCGCUUCUGGUAAAGGCCAAGAGCAACACCUCCAGCAGCUCCAGGGGCUUGUGGUGUGUAUGCAUUGGAGAUGAAGAAAUGACCUCCUUGUGGAAAUGGCUGCUGUUUCAUCAUGUGCGACUGCUGCUUACUGCCUGAAUUAGAACCAGGCGGCACAUUUGGCUGUUGACCAAGGAUCGAUGGCAUAGGCAUACUACUAUAGUGAUUUGUGGGAGCUGACUUGGCUCCAGACGUCGAUGCUGGAUUCUUGGCUGAUUGUUGUUGAGGUGACGGCAAUUGGACAGCUGGUGGAACACCCUUUGCACUUCCAGAAGCCGGUGGGCUGCCACCAGUACUUUUGGAGACUGAAUUGGAUGGUGAACCAGAAGCAACGGGAGCAUUUGAAGAUCUUGACAAAUCCCCUCCUCCAGUAGACAUAUUAGUGACAGGACCCAUCUUUGAUGAACUCUGGGGUUGGUGGUUUGAGGUAGAGAGAGACUGCAUAGGAGCCUUAGCUUGUUGCUGAUGGAGACCACUCUUCAUCACAAUCAAAUUAGAGGGUGAAGCACCAGGGGAAGCCACACCAGCAGGUGCACCUGUUGCUCUGGCUGACGAAGGCUUCAAUUGAGGAGAUUGACUAGGAACACCCACUUGGGCAGCACUUGAUGGGUACAUCAUACCCUGAAAACUUGGCAUGUUCAAGCGGUCUGAAUAUCCACCUGUAUUGCUUGGUGCAGCAGAUCUGGGGCGAGAGUUCAUAUGGUGAUGCUGAAUCAAUUGUUGCUGCUGCUUAUGAAGUUGAAGGAAAUGUUGUUGCUGCUGCUGCUGCUGCUGCUGCUG
This 13505-nucleotide long non-coding RNA is filed under the name Oryza sativa (Asian cultivated rice). Its description in RNAcentral is "long non-coding RNA (OSAT_LNC001389)". The stretch from base 8941 to 9145 matches the Rfam family "MIR812 microRNA precursor family". The record is from RNAcentral. Lineage: Eukaryota; Viridiplantae; Streptophyta; Magnoliopsida; Poales; Poaceae.